RNAcentral lists this ribosomal RNA (493 nucleotides) under uncultured bacterium. RNAcentral describes it as "bacterial SSU rRNA". It matches the Rfam family "Bacterial small subunit ribosomal RNA", at positions 29 to 518 of the family's 1533-position model. The record is from RNAcentral.
AACGAACGCUGGCGGCGCGCCUAAUACAUGCAAGUCGAGCGAGAAGGAGCAGCAAUACACUUGUAAAGCGGCGAACGGGUGAGGAAUGCAUGGGUAACCUACCUCGAGUGGGAAUAACUAGCCGAAGGUUAGCUAAUACCGCAUACGUUUCCGGAACUUCGGUUUCGGAAAGAAAGCAAUACCGUGGGUAUUGCGCUCCUGGAUGGGCUCAUGUCCUAUCAGCUUGUUGGUGAGGUAACGGCUCACCAAGGCUUCGACGGGUAGCUGGUCUGAGAGGACGAUCAGCCACACUGGCACUGCGACACGGGCCAGACUCCUACGGGAGGCAGCAGUAAGGAAUAUUGCGCAAUGGACGAAAGUCUGACGCAGCGACGCCGCGUGGGGGAUGAAGGUCUUCGGAUUGUAAACCCCUUUCGGGAGGGAAGAUGGAGUGGGUAACCACUUGGACGGUACCUCCAGAAGCAGCCACGGCUAACUUCGUGCCAGCAGCCGC